This 2909-nucleotide ribosomal RNA is filed under the name Providencia sp. 2.29. RNAcentral describes it as "23S ribosomal RNA". It matches the Rfam family "Bacterial large subunit ribosomal RNA". Lineage: Bacteria; Pseudomonadati; Pseudomonadota; Gammaproteobacteria; Enterobacterales; Morganellaceae. The record is from RNAcentral.
GGUUAAGCGACUAAGCGUACACGGUGGAUGCCUAGGCAAUCAGAGGCGAUGAAGGACGUGCUAAUCUGCGAAAAGCGUCGGUAAGGUGAUAUGAACCGUUAUAACCGACGAUGUCCGAAUGGGGAAACCCAGUGCAAUUCGUUGCACUAUCGUUUGAUGAAUCCAUAGUCAAACGAGGCGAACCGGGGGAACUGAAACAUCUCAGUACCCCGAGGAAAAGAAAUCAACCGAGAUUCCCCUAGUAGCGGCGAGCGAACGGGGAGCAGCCCAGAGUCUUAAUCAGCAUCAGCAUCAGGAGAACGGUCUGGAAAGGCCGGCAAUAAAGGGUGAUAGCCCCGUAUCCGAAGGUGUUGGUGUUGUGAACUCGACGAGUAGGGCGGGACACGUGUUAUCCUGUCUGAAUAUGGGGGGACCAUCCUCCAAGGCUAAAUACUCCUGAUUGACCGAUAGUGAACCAGUACCGUGAGGGAAAGGCGAAAAGAACCCCGGCGAGGGGAGUGAAAUAGAACCUGAAACCGUGUACGUACAAGCAGUGGGAGCCUUGAUUUAUCAGGGUGACUGCGUACCUUUUGUAUAAUGGGUCAGCGACUUAUAUUCUGUAGCAAGGUUAACCGAAUAGGGGAGCCGUAGGGAAACCGAGUCUUAACUGGGCGAAUGAGUUGCAGGGUAUAGACCCGAAACCCGGUGAUCUAGCCAUGGGCAGGUUGAAGGUUGGGUAACACUAACUGGAGGACCGAACCGACUAAUGUUGAAAAAUUAGCGGAUGACUUGUGGCUGGGGGUGAAAGGCCAAUCAAACCGGGAGAUAGCUGGUUCUCCCCGAAAGCUAUUUAGGUAGCGCCUCGUGAACUCAUCUUCGGGGGUAGAGCACUGUUUCGGCUAGGGGGUCAUCCCGACUUACCAACCCGAUGCAAACUACGAAUACCGAAGAAUGUUAUCACGGGAGACACACGGCGGGUGCUAACGUUCGUCGUGAAGAGGGAAACAACCCAGACCGCCAGCUAAGGUCCCAAAGUCAUGGUUAAGUGGGAAACGAAGUGGGAAGGCUCAGACAGCCAGGAUGUUGGCUUAGAAGCAGCCAUCAUUUAAAGAAAGCGUAAUAGCUCACUGGUCGAGUCGGCCUGCGCGGAAGAUGUAACGGGGCUAAACCAUGCACCGAAGCUGCGGCAGCGACAUGUAAAUGUUGUUGGGUAGGGGAGCGUUCUGUAAGCCUGUGAAGGUGUGCUGCGAGGCAUGCUGGAGGUAUCAGAAGUGCGAAUGCUGACAUAAGUAACGAUAAUGCGGGUGAAAAACCCGCACGCCGGAAGACCAAGGGUUCCUGUCCAACGUUAAUCGGGGCAGGGUGAGUCGACCCCUAAGGCGAGGCAGAAAUGCGUAGUCGAUGGGAAACAGGUUAAUAUUCCUGUACUGGUGAUAAUUGCGAUGGGGGGACGGAGAAGGCUAGGCUGGCCGGGCGACGGUUGUCCCGGUUUAAGGAUGUAGGUGGGUGAAUUAGGCAAAUCCGGUUCGCUAUACACUGAGGUCUGAUGACGAGUCACUACGGUGGCGAAGUAGCUCAUGCCCCGCUUCCAGGAAAAGCCUCUAAGCUCUAGAUUAUCAUUAAUCGUACCCCAAACCGACACAGGUGGUCAGGUAGAGAAUACUCAGGCGCUUGAGAGAACUCGGGUGAAGGAACUAGGCAAAAUGGUGCCGUAACUUCGGGAGAAGGCACGCUGGCAUUAGGUGAAGUGGUUUACCCAUGGAGCUGAAGCCAGUCGCAGAUACCAGCUGGCUGCAACUGUUUAUUAAAAACACAGCACUGUGCAAACACGAAAGUGGACGUAUACGGUGUGACGCCUGCCCGGUGCUGGAAGGUUAAUUGAUGGGGUUAUCCGUAAGGAGAAGCUCUUGAUCGAAGCCCCAGUAAACGGCGGCCGUAACUAUAACGGUCCUAAGGUAGCGAAAUUCCUUGUCGGGUAAGUUCCGACCUGCACGAAUGGCGUAAUGAUGGCCAGGCUGUCUCCACCCGAGACUCAGUGAAAUUGAACUCGCUGUGAAGAUGCAGUGUACCCGCGGCAAGACGGAAAGACCCCGUGAACCUUUACUAUAGCUUGACACUGAACAUUGAGCCUUGAUGUGUAGGAUAGGUGGGAGGCUUUGAAGUGUGGACGCCAGUCUGCAUGGAGCCAACCUUGAAAUACCACCCUUUAAUGUUUGAUGUUCUAACGUAGCCCCAUAAUCUGGGGUGCGGACAGUGUCUGGUGGGUAGUUUGACUGGGGCGGUCUCCUCCCAAAGCGUAACGGAGGAGCACGAAGGUUGGCUAAGCAUGGUCGGACAUCAUGCGGUUAGUGCAAAGGCAUAAGCCAGCUUGACUGCGAGAGUGACGGCUCGAGCAGGUACGAAAGUAGGUCUUAGUGAUCCGGUGGUUCUGAAUGGAAGGGCCAUCGCUCAACGGAUAAAAGGUACUCCGGGGAUAACAGGCUGAUACCGCCCAAGAGUUCAUAUCGACGGCGGUGUUUGGCACCUCGAUGUCGGCUCAUCACAUCCUGGGGCUGAAGUAGGUCCCAAGGGUAUGGCUGUUCGCCAUUUAAAGUGGUACGCGAGCUGGGUUUAGAACGUCGUGAGACAGUUCGGUCCCUAUCUGCCGUGGGCGUUGGAAGAUUGAAAGGGGCUGCUCCUAGUACGAGAGGACCGGAGUGGACGCACCGCUGGUGUUCGGGUUGUCAUGCCAAUGGCACUGCCCGGUAGCUAAGUGCGGAAGAGAUAACCGCUGAAAGCAUCUAAGCGGGAAACUUGCCUUGAGAUGAGUCUUCCCUGACUCUUUAAGGGUCCUAAAGGAACGUUUAAGACGAAGACGUUGAUAGGCUGGGUGUGUAAGCGUAGCGAUACGUUGAGCUAACCAGUACUAAUGAACCGUGAGGCUUAACCUG